AUGAACGCUAGCGACAGGCUUAACACAUGCAAGUCGAGGGGUAACAGGGUAGCAAUACCGCUGACGACCGGCGCACGGGUGAGUAACGCGUAUGCAACCUGCCUAUAACUGGGGAAUAGCUCCCUGAAAGGGGGAAUUAACACCGCAUAACACUAUUGAUUCGCAUGGAUUAGUAGUUAAAUGUAGCGAUACAGGUUAUAGAUGGGCAUGCGUGACAUUAGCUAGUUGGUGAGGUAACGGCUCACCAAGGCUACGAUGUCUAGGGGUUCUGAGAGGAAGGUCCCCCCACACUGGUACUGAGACACGGACCAGACUCCUACGGGAGGCAGCAGUGAGGAAUAUUGGUCAAUGGGCGCAAGCCUGAACCAGCCAUGUCGCGUGCAGGAAGAACCUGCCCUAUGGGUUGUAAACUGCUUUUAUAGUAGAAGAAACACAUCUACGUGUAGAUGUCUGCCAGUAUACUAUGAAUAAGCAUCGGCUAACUCCGUGCCAGCCGCCGC
Molecule: ribosomal RNA, 500 nt
Filed under: uncultured bacterium
Lineage: Bacteria
Description: bacterial SSU rRNA
Rfam family: Bacterial small subunit ribosomal RNA
Source: RNAcentral